AGGCGCAGGACGGGGCAAACAUAAACACCAGAUCGGUGCAGUAAUUGGCGGCUCCGAGAUCGCUGAGGAAAUGAGAGGCUUGUACGAAACAUCAGCCGACAAGAAACGGGGUGAUGUCAGACAGCCUUCCAGGAUUAGAAACCCUUAAAAGCUCCGAGCCCGCGGCGGCUGCGGAAAAGCGCGCUCGGCUCUGGCUCUCCGGAUAGGAGCCCAAAGAGUUCAUUCUUGUCUUUGCAGCAGGGACCCAGGAAAAGGUCAGAGCCAGGCCAGGGCAGCCUGGGAGGGGCCUCCAUCAGGAAGGAAAUCAAUAGGAAAUGCCUGUCGAAAAUGAGAUCUUUUAGAAAGCAUGUCCUGUCAUCAUUCUGGAUGCAAAGGUGGGGGCCUGCUAUGGAAACAGGAAAGGGGAAAACAGAGGCAGCCAAUGAGAGGGAAAGGGGAGGCCUCCUCCUUCCCACGCCCACACUGGCAGCUGUGGAGGCAGCAGGCCUAGAAGACCUGUAAAACAGUCUUGGGUGGGUUAUGAAAAUCUUCUCUACAUGUCUGUAGGAACUGCUGUGUCCUCAGAGCCCAUUACAAGGAGCUAAAACCAUGAGGCAGGGACACACAGGGAGCAAUGGUACAGAAUGGUUAAGGACCCCCUGUAGUGGGUAGCCAUUCCAGCUUUGGUCUGGAAGUUCCAACCCCCAUUGAGGCUUAGGUAACUAUCACACCUACAAGGCGAGGCCGAGGGAGGGCCCUGAAGACCCGAGAUCAGGACACACCAUGCUUUCUUGUUCCUGGACCCUGGACGGUGGAGGUUGACCGAGCAGAGCUCCAGAGAACACCACUGGACUGCGAUACACCUUCCCCAGACCCUGCGACCUACCUAUCCCUUCAUUUGUAAG
Peromyscus californicus insignis is the source of this 884-nucleotide long non-coding RNA. RefSeq lists it as uncharacterized. Lineage: Eukaryota; Metazoa; Chordata; Mammalia; Rodentia; Cricetidae. The transcript has 4 exons. The record is from RefSeq and is a predicted model, not a curated record.